This 492-nucleotide long non-coding RNA is filed under the name Mytilus galloprovincialis (Mediterranean mussel). Lineage: Eukaryota; Metazoa; Mollusca; Bivalvia; Mytilida; Mytilidae. The record is from RNAcentral.
GUAAAAUUGUUUAUCAGGUCAAGAUCUAUCUGCCCUGAAAUUUUCAGAUGAAUCUGAUAACCCGUUGUUGGGUUGCUCUCCCUGAAUUGGUAAUUUUAAGGAAAUUUUGCUGUUUUUGGUUAUUAUCUUGAAUAUUAUUAUAGAUAGAGAUAAACUGUAAACAUCAAUAAUGUUAAGCAAAGUAAGAUUUACAAAUAAGUCAACAUGACGAAAAUGGUCAAUUGACCCCUAAGGAGUUAUUGUCCUUUAUAGUCAAUUUUUAACAAUUUUCAUAAAAUUUGUAAAUUUUAACUAACAUUUUCCACUGAAACUACUGGGCCAAGUUCAUUAUAGAUAGAGAUAAUUGUAAGCAGCUAGAAUGUUCAGUAAAAUAAGAUGUACAAACACAUCACCAUCACCAAAACACAAUUUUGUCAUGAAUCCAUCUGCUUCCUUUGUUUGAUAUUCACAUAGACCAAGGUGAUCGACACAGGCUCUUUAGAGCCUCUAGUU